UCGUAGAACAACCACAAUCCCUUACCUCUCUCUCUCUAACACUCACUCCGAUCGCAUAGAUACUCCCUUAGCUCUCUUUGUCUGUAACGCUAUGUAAGAUCGCUCCUAAACACUCCGAUCUUGUUCAUGGCGCUUUAGUCUUUAGGUUUUCAACUCUAUUUCUACCACAAUUUCAUUAUGACCGAAGAAAUUUGUUUCGUCUAUACACCCACCUCAUAUACAAUGUUCGAACUGACUCAUUUCUGUUAGAUCUAGUGUUCAAGAUUCAAUUCUGGUGUUUUAGAGUAAGAGGUUGGAGAUGAGUCAGUGUACUAUCUGUGGAUUCUACCGGUUGUCGAGAAACCUAAUAUCAAGGUAUUUUGUGAACAAUAAGAGUAAGAUUACAGUCUAACAAUGGCGUUUUGGCUGCAAACUUGUCUCAACAGUGUACAUAUAACAAAAUUUGCGAAAGGGGUUUAGAAUUUGGUUUACUGCUAAAGGCUGAUUUGGAACAAUGGUGGGUGAAAAAAAGAUUGAGACUGAGGUUUAUAUAGGCUCAAGAAGUGGAAUUUGAAAGUUGAAGCUACCAUUACUUGCAGCCGGAAUAGAGAUGGAAACCUUUGAGUUUCCAAGAAAUAAAUCAUAAUAAUCAUGCUGAUUAUUUGGAAGCAUUUAUUUUAAAUACAUUUUUAAAUCUGUAUGUGUGUAUCUGAAGGUCUUUACGUGUAUAUAUGUAAAUCGAUUCAAGCAA
Long non-coding RNA from Ipomoea nil (Japanese morning glory), 730 nucleotides. RefSeq lists it as uncharacterized. NCBI's taxonomy places the organism in Eukaryota, Viridiplantae, Streptophyta, Magnoliopsida, Solanales, Convolvulaceae. The record is from RefSeq and is a predicted model, not a curated record. The transcript has 3 exons.